Molecule: ribosomal RNA, 112 nt
Filed under: Danio rerio (zebrafish)
Lineage: Eukaryota; Metazoa; Chordata; Actinopteri; Cypriniformes; Danionidae
Source: RNAcentral
GCCAGCAGCUAGCUAGCAACUCUCACAUGGUCGCCCACUGAAGCUAAGCAGGGCUGCGCCGGGUCAGUACCUGGAUGGGAGACCAAAUGGGAAAGCUAGGUUGCUGCCGGAA